RNAcentral lists this ribosomal RNA (303 nucleotides) under uncultured bacterium. RNAcentral's name for it is "partial 16S ribosomal RNA". It matches the Rfam family "Bacterial small subunit ribosomal RNA", at positions 507 to 808 of the family's 1533-position model. The record is from RNAcentral.
AGCAGUAGCCGCGGGAAUACGGAGGGUGCAAGCGUUGUCCGGAUUUAUUGGGUUUAAAGGGUGCGUAGGCGGCCCAAUAAGUCAGUGGUGAAAGCCUCCAGCUUAACUGGAGAACUGCCAUCGAUACUGUUAGGCUUGAGUAUACUUGAGGUAGGCGGAAUUGACAGUGUAGCGGUGAAAUGCAUAGAUAUUGUCAAGAACACCAAUUGCGAAGGCAGCUUACUAAAUUAUAACUGACGCUGAGGCACGAAAGUGUGGGUAUCAAACAGGAUUAGAUCCCCCGUAGUCCCUGUCUCUUAUACC